RNAcentral lists this ribosomal RNA (253 nucleotides) under uncultured bacterium. Its description in RNAcentral is "partial 16S ribosomal RNA". It matches the Rfam family "Bacterial small subunit ribosomal RNA", at positions 524 to 776 of the family's 1533-position model. The record is from RNAcentral.
UACGUAGGGCGCAAGCGUUAUCCGGAAUUAUUGGGCGUAAAGAGCUCGUAGGCGGUUUGUCGCGUCUGCCGUGAAAGUCCGGGGCUCAACUCCGGAUCUGCGGUGGGUACGGGCAGACUAGAGUGCAGUAGGGGAGACUGGAAUUCCUGGUGUAGCGGUGAAAUGCGCAGAUAUCAGGAGGAACACCAAAGGCGAAGGCAGUGUCCUGGGGAGUACCUGACGCUCAGGUGCGAAAGCCAGGGGAGCGAACGGG